This 606-nucleotide long non-coding RNA is filed under the name Ricinus communis (castor bean). Its description in RNAcentral is "long non-coding RNA (RCOM_LNC002770)". Lineage: Eukaryota; Viridiplantae; Streptophyta; Magnoliopsida; Malpighiales; Euphorbiaceae. The record is from RNAcentral.
GCAAAUUGCGGCAUCCUUUUUGAGGACAGAAUUUUGUUAAAAGCCAUUCAGUGGAAAUGGAUGAACAAUCUCAGCCUUUCAAAAAGUUUAAGAUGCUCGAUCAAAGGGGUCUUUGAGUCAGUAAAAAUCCUUAUCCAUAUGGAGGUGAGGCAGUGUCAUCAUCAACAUCUUUGGCAUAUGUACAAGCGAACAAGGUUGAUGCUCGCCGCAUCUGCUGUGAUCUUUCCCUUAUUUUCUUUUCUUUUUUCCUGUUUUCUCAAAAGCGUGAAAGACAGAGUGGAUUGCUGCUGACACUCUUUCUUCUCCACCACUGCUAUUUUAUUAGGACAGCAGUGCAAAUGCAAAGGAAAUCUUUUUCCAUACCUGGAAAACUUGCGCCAAUGCAAGGGAAAGUGAACCUUACUUAGCCUUGUUUUUCCAUGACUAGAUAGAGCACACCGCGUGCUAGCACCCAAAUAAUGAUGUCCUCCAAUACCGCCCAUCGAAAGUAUUCUCCGUACUAAUAGUGUUUCUGCACUCAUCAAAUAGAAUCAUAUCUCAAUUCCGUAUGUACUGCAAAAAGUCAUUUGCUCAUAUCAAUAUUAGUCUGCAAAAAAUCAUUUGUCC